Molecule: long non-coding RNA, 326 nt
Filed under: Androctonus crassicauda
Lineage: Eukaryota; Metazoa; Arthropoda; Arachnida; Scorpiones; Buthidae
Source: RNAcentral
CUAUAACAGUUUUGCUUUAACGUAAUUUGAAAUUACAAAAAUCCUUUGUGUGUCUCAUAAAGAAUGCAACUUUUGAAAUGUCUGCCAUUUCUGUUCUAGUAAGUUGCCAGUACCAAACGUUACACAAUUUUCAUCUGUUGUCUUUGUGGUUAGUAGUCACGGAGUGCCGAAUAGCACAUGAUCAUCAUCUGUUUUCUGUAUGGAUAGGAAUGGAGCACUUCAUGACAGAACAUGUGUUAUCAUCAGGGCUGUGGAAUCGGAGCCAUGGAGCCAGGAAGUUUUGGAGGAGCCGGAGCUAAGCUGAUCGUAUUCAGUGGAGCUGGAGC